Molecule: non-coding RNA, 81 nt
Organism: Colletotrichum lupini
Lineage: Eukaryota; Fungi; Ascomycota; Sordariomycetes; Glomerellales; Glomerellaceae
Source: the annotation of a RefSeq genome assembly
GGAAGAGUCGUUACUGGCAGAACAAGAUAUCUACUAAAUAUUGUGUGAAAACACCUGGGCGUUCGAUUCGUCUCUCUUCCG